RNAcentral lists this transfer RNA (68 nucleotides) under Xenopus laevis (African clawed frog). It matches the Rfam family "tRNA". From Rfam's summary of the family: Transfer RNA (tRNA) molecules are approximately 80 nucleotides in length. Their secondary structure includes four short double-helical elements and three loops (D, anti-codon, and T loops). The record is from Rfam by way of RNAcentral. Lineage: Eukaryota; Metazoa; Chordata; Amphibia; Anura; Pipidae.
CAUUUCAUAGUGGUCAUAACAUCUGCUUUACAAACAGAAGGUCCUGGGUUCAAUCCCCAGUGGAACCA